UUUUAAGUCUGAUGUGAAAGCCCACGGCUCAACCGUGGAGGGUCAUUGGAAACUGGAAAACUUGAGUGCAGAAGAGGAAAGUGGAAUUCCAUGUGUAGCGGUGAAAUGCGCAGAGAUAUGGAGGAACACCAGUGGCGAAGGCGACUUUCUGGUCUGUAACUGACGCUGAUGUGCGAAAGCGUGGGGAUCAAACAGGAUUAGAUACCCUGGUAGUCCACGCCGUAAACGAUGAGUGCUAAGUGUUAGGGGGUUUCCGCCCCUUAGUGCUGCAGCUAACGCAUUAAGCACUCCGCCUGGGGAGUACGACCGCAAGGUUGAAACUCAAAGGAAU
This 331-nucleotide ribosomal RNA is filed under the name Staphylococcus aureus. Its description in RNAcentral is "bacterial SSU rRNA". It matches the Rfam family "Bacterial small subunit ribosomal RNA", at positions 581 to 910 of the family's 1533-position model. Lineage: Bacteria; Bacillati; Bacillota; Bacilli; Caryophanales; Staphylococcaceae. The record is from RNAcentral.